GUAUUACUGAGGAGUCUCACAAUAGGAUGAAACGGUCGUUCAGUAC
This is a non-coding RNA of Schistosoma curassoni, 46 nucleotides long. NCBI's taxonomy places the organism in Eukaryota, Metazoa, Platyhelminthes, Trematoda, Strigeidida, Schistosomatidae. The record is from Rfam.